Molecule: long non-coding RNA, 668 nt
Organism: Mustela lutreola (European mink)
Lineage: Eukaryota; Metazoa; Chordata; Mammalia; Carnivora; Mustelidae
Exons: 3
Source: RefSeq, a predicted model, not a curated record
GAUUGUCUCGGUUUCCUCUUGGCAGAUUUAAAUUGUUAGAGAAAUGAAACUCGUUUGAAAACAGUGGGCCCUGGCAGGCCCACUCCCAGGCAUUGCCCAGGACUCCGGGAACAGUUGUCAGCUUGCACGGCGUUUGUCUAGGUUGGGUUUGAUCUUACUCUCAGAUCCCAUAUGAAUCUCGGAGAGGCAGACACGAGGCUCAUUUCAGAGACUCAAUUUAACAUAGACUAACAUGCACAAUGGCACAAGGACCAGUGAGAACUUUCUGUACUUGGUGGUUUGUGGAGUUAAAAUAAGUCAUCAUCCCUCACCUCAAACCUGACUUUUGACCUGGAUUUCUUCUUUAUGUCUAACCAUCAGUCAUCCCAUUCAAUGGAAGAUGUCAAAGGCAUUUCUUCAAACCUGUUCAUUUCCAGAGCAAGGCUUUUCCAGAUGGGAAUUAGAAAGCAAGAUUUGAUAAAAAUCUGCUUCCCUAUUACUCAAUACAAAGGAAUAUUACAGUAGCACUCCUGUUUCCGCUAAUCCGUUCAUUUCAGGUUUGAUUUACCUUUUUUGCCUUGAUCUCAAAUCCAUGUGGCUUUAUAGGAUUUAUAUUGCUAUAUUCAGGUUUUGAAUGAAUCACAGAGUAUGCAUUUUAAUAUGAUUUCUCUGAUUCCAAAUCCAGGAUU